Molecule: ribosomal RNA, 723 nt
Filed under: Actinomycetes bacterium
Lineage: Bacteria; Bacillati; Actinomycetota; Actinomycetes
Description: bacterial SSU rRNA
Rfam family: Bacterial small subunit ribosomal RNA
Source: RNAcentral
GGGACAAGCCCUGGAAACGGGGUCUAAUACCGGAUAACACUCUGUCCCGCAUGGGACGGGGUUAAAAGCUCCGGCGGUGAAGGAUGAGCCCGCGGCCUAUCAGCUUGUUGGUGGGGUGAUGGCCUACCAAGGCGACGACGGGUAGCCGGCCUGAGAGGGCGACCGGCCACACUGGGACUGAGACACGGCCCAGACUCCUACGGGAGGCAGCAGUGGGGAAUAUUGCACAAUGGGCGAAAGCCUGAUGCAGCGACGCCGCGUGAGGGAUGACGGCCUUCGGGUUGUAAACCUCUUUCAGCAGGGAAGAAGCGAAAGUGACGGUACCUGCAGAAGAAGCGCCGGCUAACUACGUGCCAGCAGCCGCGGUAAUACGUAGGGCGCAAGCGUUGUCCGGAAUUAUUGGGCGUAAAGAGCUCGUAGGCGGCUUGUCACGUCGGAUGUGAAAGCCCGGGGCUUAACCCCGGGUCUGCAUUCGAUACGGGCUAGCUAGAGUGUGGUAGGGGAGAUCGGAAUUCCUGGUGUAGCGGUGAAAUGCGCAGAUAUCAGGAGGAACACCGGUGGCGAAGGCGGAUCUCUGGGCCAUUACUGACGCUGAGGAGCGAAAGCGUGGGGAGCGAACAGGAUUAGAUACCCUGGUAGUCCACGCCGUAAACGUUGGGAACUAGGUGUUGGCGACAUUCCACGUCGUCGGUGCCGCAGCUAACGCAUUAAGUUCCCCGCCUG